This 261-nucleotide ribosomal RNA is filed under the name uncultured Stenotrophomonas sp. RNAcentral's name for it is "partial 16S ribosomal RNA". It matches the Rfam family "Bacterial small subunit ribosomal RNA", at positions 92 to 354 of the family's 1533-position model. Lineage: Bacteria; Pseudomonadati; Pseudomonadota; Gammaproteobacteria; Lysobacterales; Lysobacteraceae. The record is from RNAcentral.
CGAGUGGCGGACGGGUGAGGAAUACAUCGGAAUCUACUCUGUCGUGGGGGAUAACGUAGGGAAACUUACGCUAAUACCGCAUACGACCUACGGGUGAAAGCAGGGGAUCUUCGGACCUUGCGCGAUUGAAUGAGCCGAUGUCGGAUUAGCUAGUUGGCGGGGUAAAGGCCCACCAAGGCGACGAUCCGUAGCUGGUCUGAGAGGAUGAUCAGUCACACUGGAACUGAGACACGGUCCAGACUCCUACGGGAGGCAGCAGGG